Molecule: small RNA, 569 nt
Filed under: Pongo abelii (Sumatran orangutan)
Lineage: Eukaryota; Metazoa; Chordata; Mammalia; Primates; Hominidae
Description: processed transcript
Source: RNAcentral
UUUUCUGGCGCUGGCUCCUCUUGGUCAGUGCGGUUUCGCCUUUAUGGUGGUGGAGUACGCCCAAGCUGUGGUGAGUUCCGCCUGGUUGGCCGUCCGGGAGAUAGCAGAGGGAGGCAAAGGAAUGAUUGCGUGCUGUCGCCUAGGAGCCUCUCAGAUCCGCUUCACUUCACUCGCUUCUCCAGGGACUAUCAGUCCUCCCUGUGCAGCCAGUUCAGAGAGGCUGCACACUCUCUCGGCUCACUGCAACCUCUGCCUCCAGGGUCAAGCAGUUCUCCUGCCUCAGCCUUCCGAGUACCUGGGAUUACAGGACAGCAAAUAACCCUGUACAAAGGGGAAUGGAGAUUGCCUCUAUCCACCUAGAUUCAUAAGAUGCCCUGAGGUGAUCUUGGCAUCACGGAAGGUAUGCACAUCACACCAUCAGCUUCAGAGAAUGGCAGCCAUUUAUUUGUCCCGUGGGUUUUUUUCCAGGGAACCAAUCUGCCCUUUUGAAGAAAAGACAGAGGUAGAAAGGAUGGUGGAGGACUACCUGGCAAACGGUUAUCAGUGAAUAUUGGUGGAAGUGUUCAUUG